UCAAGUUAUUAAGGGUGCAGGGCGGAUGCCUUGGCACUAGGAGCCGAUGAAGGACGUGAUAAGCUGCGAUAAGCUUCGGGGAGUUGCACGUAAACUUUGAUCCGAAGAUUUCCGAAUGAGGAAACUCACUUAGAGUAAUGUCUAAGUAUCAUUAAGUGAAUACAUAGCUUAAUGAGGGGAACUCAGGGAACUGAAACAUCUAAGUACCUGAAGGAAGAGAAAGAAAUUCGAUUCCGUAAGUAGCGGCGAGCGAACGCGGAUUAGCCCAAACCAAUAAAGUUUUCUUUGUUGGGGUUGCGGACAUAUCAUAACGAAGAGGUAUCGUAAUUGAAGAGGUUUGGAAAGACCCACCACAGAAGGUAAUAGUCCUGUAUGUUAAACGAGAAGACUUCAGAUAUGAUCCAGAGUACCACGGGACACGUGAAACCCUGUGGGAAGCAGGAGGGACCACCCUCCAAGGCUAAAUACUACCUAGUGACCGAUAGCGUAUAGUACCGUGAGGGAAAGGUGAAAAGAACCCCGGGAGGGGAGUGAAAUAGAACCUGAAACCCUGCACUUACAAGCUGUGGAAGCACAUUUCUUGUGUGACCGCGUACUUUUUGUAGAACGGGCCAACGAGUUACGUUAAGUAGCAAGGUUAAGCACUUAAGGUGCGGAGCCGUAGCGAAAGCGAGUUUUAACUGAGCGUUCAGUUACUUGACGUAGACCCGAAACCGGGCGACCUACCCAUGAGCAGGAUGAAGCGAAAGUAAAAUUUCGUGGAGGUCCGAACCCACGAGCGUUGAAAAGCUCGGGGAUGACUUGUGGGUAGCGGUGAAAUUCCAAUCGAGCCCGGAGAUAGCUGGUUCUCCCCGAAAUAGCUUUAGGGCUAGCCUCAAGGUGAGAGAUACGGAGGUAGAGCACUGAAUGUCCUAGGGGGUAUUGCACCUACCGAAGACUAUCAAACUCCGAAUGCCGUCAUCUUAUACUUGGGAGUCAGACUGUGGGUGAUAAGAUUCAUAGUCGAAAGGGCAACAGCCCAGAUCGUCAGCUAAGGUCCCUAAAUGUAAGUUAAGUGGUAAAGGAUGUGGGAUUGCACAGACAACCAGGAUGUUGGCUUAGAAGCAGCCACUCAUUCAAAGAGUGCGUAAUAGCUCACUGGUCGAGUGAUCCUGCGCCGAAGAUUUCCGGGGCUAAAACUUACUACCGAAGCUACGGCAUCAUUAUGAUGGGUAGGGGAGCUUCCCAUACGGGUUGAAGCAUGACCGUAAGGACAUGUGGACAGUAUGGGAGUGAGAAUGUUGGCAUGAGUAGCGAGAUGUGGGUGAGAAUCCCACAGGCCGUAAACCCAAGGUUUCCAGGGGAAGGUUCGUCCGCCCUGGGUUAGUCGGGACCUAAGCUGAGGCCGAAAGGCGUAGGUGAUGGACAACAGGUUGAUAUUCCUGUACUACCGAUAACCAUUUGAGAGAAGGGAUGACACAGUAGGAUAAGCUAAGCACACUGUUGGUUAUGUGUGCCCAAGCAUUGAGGCAGUCAAAGUAGGCAAAUCCGCUUUGAUAAUGCUGGGAUGUGAUGGGGAGCGAAAUUUAGUAGCGAAGUAGCUGAUUUCACACUGUCAAGAAAAGUCUCUAUCGAGGUUAAAGGUACCCGUACCGCAAACCGACACAGGUGGGUGAGGAGAGUAUCCUAAGGCCAGCGAGAGAACUGUUGUUAAGGAACUCGGCAAAAUGACCCCGUAACUUAGGGAUAAGGGGUGCCACCAUCCGGUGGCCGCAGAGAAUAGGCCCAAGCGACUGUUUACCAAAAACAUAGGUUUCUGCUAAGUCGCAAGACGAUGUAUAGGAGCUGACGCCUGCCCGGUGCUGGAAGGUUAAGGGGAUCUGUUAGAGCAAUCGAAGCAGUGAACUUAAGCCCCAGUAAACGGCGGCCGUAACUAUAACGGUCCUAAGGUAGCGAAAUUCCUUGUCGGGUAAGUUCCGACCCGCACGAAAGGCGUAACGAUUUGGGCACUGUCUCAACAACAGACUCGGUGAAAUUGUAAUUCCGGUGAAGAUGCCGGAUACCUGCGACAGGACGGAAAGACCCCAUGGAGCUUUACUGUAGCUUGACAUUGGGUCUUGGUACUACAUGUACAGGAUAGGUGGGAGGCUUUGAAACCAGGACGCCAGUUUUGGCGGAGCCAUCCUUGGGAUACCACCCUUGUAGUACUGGGACUCUAACCAUAGGCCAUGAAUCUGGUCUUGGGACACUGUCAGGUGGGCAGUUUGACUGGGGCGGUCGCCUCCCAAAAGGUAACGGAGGCGCUCAAAGGUUCUCUCAGUACGGUCGGAAAUCGUACGUAGAGUGUAAAGGCAAAAGAGAGCUUGAUUGCAAGACAUACAGGUCGAGCAAGGAUGAAAAUCGGACUUAGUGAUCCGGUGGUUCUGCGUGGAAGGGCCAUCGCUCAACGGAUAAAAGCUACCCUGGGGAUAACAGGCUUAUCUCCCCCAAGAGUCCACAUCGACGGGGAGGUUUGGCACCUCGAUGUCGGCUCAUCACAUCCUGGGGCUGUAGUAGGUCCCAAGGGUUGGGCUGUUCGCCCAUUAAAGUGGUACGCGAGCUGGGUUCAGAACGUCGUGAGACAGUUCGGUCCCUAUCCGUCGCAGGCGUAGGAAAUUUGAGAAGACCUGUCCUUAGUACGAGAGGACCGGGAUGGACGUACCUCUGGUGUACCAGUUGUUCUGCCAAGGGCAUGGCUGGGUAGCUAUGUACGGAAUGGAUAAGCGCUGAAAGCAUCUAAGCGCGAAGCCAACUUCAAGAUAAGAUUUCCCACCGCAAGGGUAAGACCCCAGAAAGACUAUCUGGUUGAUAGGUCGAAGGUGUAAGUGCAGCAAUGUAUUUAGCUUAUCGAUACUAAUAGGUCGAGGACUUGACCAA
This 2895-nucleotide ribosomal RNA is filed under the name Clostridioides difficile. Its description in RNAcentral is "bacterial LSU rRNA". It matches the Rfam family "Bacterial large subunit ribosomal RNA". Lineage: Bacteria; Bacillati; Bacillota; Clostridia; Peptostreptococcales; Peptostreptococcaceae. The record is from RNAcentral.